RNAcentral lists this ribosomal RNA (253 nucleotides) under uncultured bacterium. RNAcentral's name for it is "partial 16S ribosomal RNA". It matches the Rfam family "Bacterial small subunit ribosomal RNA", at positions 524 to 776 of the family's 1533-position model. The record is from RNAcentral.
UACGGAGGGUGCAAGCGUUGUCCGGAAUCACUGGGCGUAAAGGGCGCGUAGGCGGCUUGGUAAGUAGGGGGUGAAAUCCUGCGGCUUAACCGCAGGGCUGCCUUCUAAACUGCCAGGCUUGAGCACAGUAGAGGCAGGUGGAAUUCCCGGUGUAGCGGUGGAAUGCGUAGAGAUCGGGAAGAACAUCAGUGGCGAAGGCGGCCUGCUGGGCUGUUGCUGACGCUGAGGCGCGACAGCGUGGGGAGCAAACAGG